This 21-nucleotide ribosomal RNA is filed under the name Penicillium citrinum. Its description in RNAcentral is "partial 28S ribosomal RNA". Lineage: Eukaryota; Fungi; Ascomycota; Eurotiomycetes; Eurotiales; Aspergillaceae. The record is from RNAcentral.
UCGGAUCAGGUAUGUCCCGGC